CUCGCGUGGUGGGCAUUUUUUCCCUUCCUCUGACGAUUACUCUCCUUUGACGCACUCUGGUGACCAGCGGAGGGCGGAGACUCCGGCAAGGAAACUAAAGGAGGCUGUCUGAGGUUUCUGUACACGGUGAUGGCAUUAAAUUAAGUCCCUGGAAGGUGCCCUCAGGUACAGAAUCUCUCAGGGAUCAGCUGAGAUACCUAAGCAGAAACAGAUCAUCUGAAUAAAGACUGAGGCUGUGGAGGAAAGAGACUAUAAAGGCAGUCCAAUGCAAUCCUGAACCAUACCACAAAACUAAACCUGGAUGGACUUCCUUGCUGGGAUUUGCUUGAAAGGACGGUUCUUUUGCCAGCUGCCUGAAGUUUGUAGUGCGAUGACUGCAACCAUUGAUUUGAUGACUAACAGCAGGCUCCCCAUAUAAACCACUGCAUGGCUGAGCCAGGGGACAGCUUCUCAAUAUUUUAGUCCCCAACCCAAACAAACCAAAAGUAAGAAAGGCAAUUUAUGGGACCACUGGGGUACUUUGCUAAUUUUAUAGGUGUGAUAAUGAUGGCUGUGUUUAUUUUACAGCAUCAUUAUCUCCUAGAAAUACAUACUAUGUAUUUUACACAUAAAUUGAUACAACUUUUGCCUUACAAUAAUUUAGCAUGUCUGGGUAAUUGAGGAAGCAGGAUUAGCUGUAUGUCAAUGAUUCUUUGAUGGCCAGGCUCCACGAAUAUGGGGCUGAAUUGUACUAUUACCUCUUCUCUCUCUACAUUUGAAAGUUUCCAAGUGCGCUGUUAAAAGUAUUUCUAUUCAAUUUCACCCCGCUUCCUGAUUUUGGUAGCGUAUACAAAAGGUGCUUAAUCACUGCUUUCAUUUAUCCUAUAAUGACUGCUUUCAUUUUCUUUAAAAUCUAUGCGAUAGCAUGGACUGUUGUACUUACUCCUGUAGACACAACCAC
Molecule: long non-coding RNA, 940 nt
Organism: Myodes glareolus (Bank vole)
Lineage: Eukaryota; Metazoa; Chordata; Mammalia; Rodentia; Cricetidae
Source: RefSeq, a predicted model, not a curated record